GUGUCAGCCGCCGCGGUAAUACCAGCACCUCGAGUGGUCAGGACGAUUAUUGGGCCUAAAGCAUCGGUAGCUGGUUUUGCAAGUCUCCGGUUAAAUCCACCUGCUUAACAGAUGGGCCGCUGGAGAUACUACAAAACUAGGGAGUGGGAGAGGCAGACGGUAUUCGGGGGGUAGGGGUAAAAUCCUCUGAUCCUUUGAGGACCACCAGUGGCGAAGGCGGUCUGCCAGAACACGUUCGACAGUGAGGGAUGAAAGCUGGGGGAGCAAACCGGAUUAGAUACCCGGGUAGUCCCAGCUGUAAACGAUGCAGACUCGGUGAUGCAUUGGCUUCUUGCCAAUGCAGUGCCGCAGGGAAGCCGUUAAGUCUGCCGCCUGGGAAGUACGGUCGCAAGAUUGAAACUUAAAG
RNAcentral lists this ribosomal RNA (406 nucleotides) under uncultured archaeon. RNAcentral describes it as "bacterial SSU rRNA". It matches the Rfam family "Archaeal small subunit ribosomal RNA", at positions 455 to 861 of the family's 1478-position model. The record is from RNAcentral.